CCUACGGGUGGCUGCAGUAGGGAAUCUUCCGCAAUGGGCGCAAGCCUGACGCAGCCAAGUAGCGUGAGUGAUGAAUGCCCUACGAUUGUUAAACUUCGUUUAUAAGGGAAUAAAUUUAUGCACGUGUGCCUUUUUAUCUUUACUUUAUGAAUAAAGAUCGGCUAGCUCCGUGCCAGCAGCCGCGGUAAUACGGAGGAUCCGAGCGUUGUCCGGAUUUAUUGGGUUUAAAGGGAGCGUAGAUGGGUUGUUAAGUCAGUUGUGAAAGUUUGCGGCUCAACCGUAAAGUGGCAAUUGAUACUGGAAGUCUUGAGUACAGUUGAGGUAGGUGGAAUUCGUGGUGUAGCGGUGAAAUGCGCAGAGAUCUGGAAGAACUCCGAUGGCGAAGGCAGCUUACUAAACUGUAACUGACAUUGAUGCGCGAAAGUGUGGGGAUCAAACAGGAUUAGAUACCCGAGUAGUC
RNAcentral lists this ribosomal RNA (460 nucleotides) under uncultured bacterium. RNAcentral describes it as "partial 16S ribosomal RNA". It matches the Rfam family "Bacterial small subunit ribosomal RNA", at positions 338 to 795 of the family's 1533-position model. The record is from RNAcentral.